Alligator mississippiensis (American alligator) is the source of this 3981-nucleotide long non-coding RNA. RefSeq lists it as uncharacterized. The record is from RefSeq and is a predicted model, not a curated record. NCBI's taxonomy places the organism in Eukaryota, Metazoa, Chordata, Crocodylia, Alligatoridae. The transcript is spliced from 2 exons.
UGAGGUUCCCAUGUCACCCUGCCAAAAUGUGGUCUGGUGGCCUGGCCUUGCUGCUUUGCAGGAGACUGGGCUGUGCAUGGAAGAAAGAAGAAAUGAUGGGGGAGGAGGAGGUGCAGUAGCACCUUGCACAGAGCCAUAUGUAGCCAAGAGAUACCACCUUAGCCUGCGACCAGCCAGACAAAAGUGACUCCUGGAAACCCACAAUAAAAGCUCCCACGUGGAGCAGAUAGGAGGAGCAAAAUGCCCAGCAAGGAGCAGCUGGACCCAGGCUGUUUUCCAAAGGAAGAAGGUUUCUGGUAAGUCAAAGGCAGACAGAGUCUACUGUGACACCAGUUAGCCCAGCAGAUGCUAACAGGGUAGGAGGCCAUACCAGGGCUGGUGUCUCCAGUGGGAUGGGUGGGAGCCAAAGAGAUGGGGAGGAAGACAGGCAAAAGGAAUAAAAGGAAAUCCCACAUAGCAGGGACACCUGCCCUGUAGCUUGAGGAGCUCCUUUGAAGUCCCAGUGACAUGGCUCACCAUGGGACCAGACACUGCAGCCCACCAUGGGCUGGGGUGCAGUGUCAGCCUUGCUUAGGUCUUUGGGGUAAAAGCCACACAUGCCCUGUCUCCAGUAGGCUCUGACAGUGAGAUAUGAUGGAGACCUGGCUUCUAUUCUUGGUGGUGCUGCUAACCUGCUGCGUGCUCUCAGGGAAGUUGAUUCUCUUCUCUCCUCCCCCUGCCUGUCUUGUCUCUUUAGACCAUAAGCUCUUAAGGGAAGGGGAUGGGUCUUGCUCUGUGUUUGCCCAACUCCUAGCAGGAUGGGGUCUUGAUCUCAGGUGGGGCCUGUGGGAGCCACUGACUGACAAAUAAUAAUGGUCUGUGCUCUUGCUAUUCAAGGAGGAUGAGCUGGUACGGCGGGGAUUAACUGGCCCCAACCACUGAUGCAGAUAAGGCUGUAAACAAGAGCAAGCCAUGUUCUCACAUGGCGCCACCAUCACAGUGUUUGCGUAGCAUACCUAGCGCACGGUAACAAUCACAUGAGCCCAAAUUAACCCCACCCCAGGACUCUGCUCUAGUUCCUGCACACAUUAUAGUGGUGCUUCAGCUCUUUGCAUUUCUCCUCUGCAGAUCUCCAAGCACUUUAUGAGGAAGGCAGCUAAUGUCACUCCCUCUCCUCCUCCAUUUUAUAUGUAGGGAAACUGGAGCACAGGAUGGUGAUGUUACUCAGCUAAGUACAUAAAUGAUACACCCAGAAAAACCCCACAAGUUUUCAGGUGAACAGCAAGCUGUGAUGCUGUCAGGUUGCCAUACCAUUUAGAUGUCCACACCAGCACCCAUCUAAUAUCAGGUACAUUGUGCACAAAUUAUUCACUGGCUGAUGGAAACACAUAUGCAUCACUUCUUUACCAGCUAUUUAUCAUCACAGCCACUGGUCAGAUGGGGUUAAAUGGAUUGUCAGAUCUUUUAUUCAGCGAGCAAAGGGAAAUGGCCCAAUCCACUGUCGAGGCUCACUAUUCCAACAAGUUCUAAUUGCAGCUGUGCUGAGCUGAUGCAGCAUGAAGCAGGGCUGGAGUCCUUCAUUUCUGUGGCUUGGCAGCAGGAGGAUCCAGUUCACCCAGGAAAGCCAUUGCAGCUGGUCUGAGAAGGGGGCCCAGGGAGAGGUGAAGCCAGCGGAGUGCUUUGCGUUAUAAAAUGCCAGGUGACCAUUUUACAGCCUUCUCUUCAGGCAGCCCAUGCUGAUGAUUGCUGGGUGGAAGGUGGACCGUGUCACUGCCUGCAAACAACCCCUCAAGGUCAGUCCAGUGCCAGCUCAUUACCUCUGCCGUGCUGGCUGGUCUGGAUCCCAUGUGGAGGCAUUUGAACUGUACGAGGAACAUAGAUGCUUCAUGGAUGUUGGUUUGGGAUUCCAGGCUGAGACCAGGAGCCUAAAUCUUAGAUUUUGGGGCCAUAACAGCUGGCCCCUAGUCUGACUCUGUGCCUCAGUUCCCACCUGUCCAGUGAGGACAGCAGCACUCACCUACCUUACUGGGGGUUGUGAGGAGGAAGUGAUGGGAGAGUGUGGGGUACCCAGACCCUUUGGGAAUGGGGAGGUAUCUCGAUGCCUGCAGUAGCUAUAUGCUCUAUGCCUGCAAUAUGUUCCCAGUUCCCUCCAUGUCCUGGCGCAGGGAUGCUCAGUGUGGAGUACAGCAAGCUUCCUCCUUGUCCUGCUGCACUUGGGAAGGAAGCUGAAUGCCAUCAUUUGGCUUCAGUAGCCAGGGUUGGCCAAAGUGCUGUUCUUAACAGUUGCUAGAUCCAAACCAGAUGGGACACUUCGGAUGAGGAGGACUCGAUCCAAGGCUCAUCUAUUACCAUAUAUUUUCACCUGAGGGAGCUACCUUUGGGCUGCCCUUCUCCACAUCUGAAUAUUCAGGAAGUGACACAAGCAGUCAAAGCCAGGAGAUGCAGCAGCAAGAUUGACAAGUCCCCCUCAGUAUUUCACACCGGCAUGAGCUGAGGGCAGAGGCUGUAUCACACUUGACUUGUGUUCAUCCCUGUCGUUUGAUGAGAUUAUGAACCACUCAUGUCCUGCCAGGACUUCUUAGGUCCUGGCCUUCCCUUUAAACCUGAAUCUCUUCUCCAGAUGUGAUGGGUAGUUGGCCCAGAGGUCAGAAGAAAGAAGAAGUAACACAUGGGAACGUAGGGCAAGAAAGGACCUUUGAGCAUAGCCUCCUGCUCUCAAAGAUAACUAUACCAUACAAUCUUGAGAUCCAUUUAAAAUGUAGUGAGAUGCAUGUCAAGAUUCCUGGGCUCUUUUUCCCACUCUGGCAUGAGUCCGUGGCAUGUCCUGUGUAAGCAAGUCCCCUUGACAUCUUCAGGUCUGUUUCUCCAUGUAUAAUAUACUGUACAUUAUACAUAAUGCCUAUACCUACCAUGUAGGAGCAGGGCGUCUCAUUGAUGUUGUUAGAGUAUUUUGAGAUUUUCAGGUGAAUGUGAGGAAUGCAAAGUAGCAUGUAGUUCUUUGUUCUGUGGACCUUGGAUGGGAGAUCCUGUGAGCCACCAUCCACCCUUGUCCUGAGCAUCUACGAAAAAUCAAAUCCCACAUACUUGUUCAUACUCUUUGGUACUACCCUGGGGUCAUUUGGGGCAAAUAUCCUUCACACUCAAGUGACCUUGAAUCCAGACCAUUGGGCUGGGUAACCAGAAGCCACCCCAGAGAGACAGGAAUCCCACCCAGCUGCACAGUAAACAUUUCCUCCGGUCCAAAUACCAGGUGUCCUUGGAGCACAUGAAAGUCCCCACCCACAAUCCAAGUCAGAGUUGGGAACACUAAUGACUGCCAGAGCUGUGUGACCUGUCUCCUCCUCGUUAUUAUUUUUUGUUGCAAAAGCACCUUCAAAGCCCAGUAGAAAUGGACUGGCACCCUGGCACCUGCUGCCCCCCGCCACUGCCUGCAGUUCAGGCUGGUCAUGCGUAUGCUGCUCCUUCACAUGAAGACAUGGCCUUUUUCCGAUGGGUGAGCUGGCAAGAGAUCGUUAGGUUCAUUUUCUCACAGCUAUGCUCACUGUGUUUGCUACCAAGGGGUCUGGCAUCAGCCUCCUGAAUCAUCUGCUAUUGAAUCUGCUGAUGUACUGCAGCCUUGCCUCCAUAAGCAUCAUAUGGACUGUGUUCCCCUGUGAGGCUGACAGAACAUAAGUGCUGCAGGUCCAGACUUUGAUCACAAGGGAGAUUUUUUUAGGCCAGACUUUCUGCAGUUGACUGAAUGCACCUCUGGUCUCUGCUGAAGAAACCAUGGGCUUUAAACACACUAGACGAUCUUCCGGGAUUUAUUUCAUCCAGCAGGAGACUGCAUCAUAAUACAGCUCAUGAAGCUUUGUAUCACUAACUUGCCUCUGACAGCAAUGCAAAGCAAAGUGUUCUUGUUUUUCUCUCUCUAGCAAUGUUGAGGCUCUGGCUCUGUUUCCAAGAUAUGAUUACUUGAAUGAAAAGUGAUGAAUAAAUAAAAUAUAUCCAGUUUUUUUCAUC